UAGACCGCCUGGGGAGUACGGCCGCAAGGUUAAAACUCAAAUGAAUUGACGGGGGCCCGCACAAGCGGUGGAGCAUGUGGUUUAAUUCGAUGCAACGCGAAGAACCUUACCUGGUCUUGACAUCCACAGAACUUUCCAGAGAUGGAUUGUGCCUUCGGGAACUGUGAGACAGGUGCUGCAUGGCUGUCGUCAGCUCGUGUUGUGAAAUGUUGGGUUAAGUCCCGCAACGAGCGCAACCCUUAUCCUUUGUUGCCAGCGGUUAGGCCGGGAACUCAAAGGAGACUGCCAGUGAUAAACUGGAGGAAGGUGGGGAUGACGUCAAGUCAUCAUGGCCCUUACGACCAGGGCUACACACGUGCUACAAUGGCGCAUACAAAGAGAAGCGACCUCGCGAGAGCAAGCGGACCUCAUAAAGUGCGUCGUAGUCCGGAUUGGAGUCUGCAACUCGACUCCAUGAAGUCGGAAUCGCUAGUAAUCGUGGAUCAGAAUGCCACGGUGAAUACGUUCCCGGGCCUUGUACACACCGCCCGUCACACCAUGGGAGUGGGUUGCAAAAGAAGUAGGUAGCUUAACCUUCGGGAGGGCGCUUACCACUUUGUGAUUCAUGACUGGGGUGAAGUCGUAACAAGGUAACCGUAGGGGAACCUGCGGUUGGAUCACCUCCUUACCUUAAAGAA
This 677-nucleotide ribosomal RNA is filed under the name Salmonella enterica subsp. enterica serovar Anatum. RNAcentral describes it as "bacterial SSU rRNA". It matches the Rfam family "Bacterial small subunit ribosomal RNA", at positions 865 to 1533 of the family's 1533-position model. The record is from RNAcentral. Lineage: Bacteria; Pseudomonadati; Pseudomonadota; Gammaproteobacteria; Enterobacterales; Enterobacteriaceae.